Molecule: ribosomal RNA, 569 nt
Filed under: uncultured Pseudozyma
Lineage: Eukaryota; Fungi; Basidiomycota; Ustilaginomycetes; Ustilaginales; Ustilaginaceae
Description: eukaryotic LSU rRNA
Rfam family: Eukaryotic large subunit ribosomal RNA
Source: RNAcentral
GAGCCCAAGAUUGAAAGCUGGCGCCUUCGGCGUCCGCAUUGUAAUCUCAAGAAGUGUUUUCCGCUUCGGACCAUGCCUAAGUCCCUUGGAAAAGGGCAUCAUAGAGGGUGAUAAUCCCGUACAUGGCAUGGAGCGCCCGAAGCUUUGUGAUACGCUUUCUAAGAGUCGAGUUGUUUGGGAAUGCAGCUCAAAAUGGGUGGUAAAUGCCAUCUAAGGCUAAAUAUUGGGGAGAGACCGAUAGCGAACAAGUACAGUGAUGGAAAGAUGAAAAGAACUUUGAAAAGAGAGUUAAACAGUACGUGAAAUUGCCAAAAGGGAAGGGUAGGAGGUCAGAGAUGCGUCGCAGGAUUCAGCCUUGCUUUUGCUUGGUGUUUUUCCUGCGUUGCAGGCCAACGUCGGUUUUGGGCACUGGAGAAGGGUAGGAGGAACGUGGCACCUCUCGGGGUGUGUUAUAGCCUCCUACUGGAUACAGCGACCGAGACCGAGGAACGCAGCGUACUCGUAAGAGCGGGCCUUUUGGCACCUUUACGCUUAGGGCGUUGGCAUAAUGGCCCUCUACCACCCGUCUU